GUUGAUGAUUCUAUUUAUCAAAAAAAGCAAGCGUCGUAGCACAUGGAUCGCGAGGACACACACGCAUAUAUAUAUUAAUUUCUGUAUCAUUCCAUUAACAGUUGCAAAUAACUUAUCAUGAUCAUAAACUAGUUUCAACACUUCACAAACACAUCAUCAUCCUUGUUUUCAUUAAACCACGUAUCCGAUCUUACGUAAAAGGGUCGAUUGCGUAAAGUAGGAGUGAACGCAAGAUGUAUCACGAAGUGAACGAGAUUAAGUAAAAAAAAGAAAUAAGAAAAAAAAAUUAUGAAAGAAAACAUUUAUGAGUCAAAGAAAGAGAGAAAAAAAAAAAAAAACUGUUAGUCAUGAAGCGAACAUUGAAGAAAUGGAUAGCGAAAAUGGAGAAUAACAAUGCCAAAAAGGUGAAUUCUU
This is a non-coding RNA of Schizosaccharomyces pombe (fission yeast), 414 nucleotides long. The record is from the annotation of a GenBank genome assembly. NCBI's taxonomy places the organism in Eukaryota, Fungi, Ascomycota, Schizosaccharomycetes, Schizosaccharomycetales, Schizosaccharomycetaceae.